UGAGGAAUAUUGGUCAAUGGGCGAGAGCCUGAACCAGCCAAGUAGCUGUGCAGGAUGACGGCCCUAUGGGUUGUAAACUGCUUUUAUCCAGGGAUAAAGUGAGGUACGUGUACUUUUUGUAUGUACCAGGUUGAAUAAGGGGCCGGCUAAUAC
This 153-nucleotide ribosomal RNA is filed under the name uncultured bacterium. Its description in RNAcentral is "partial 16S ribosomal RNA". It matches the Rfam family "Bacterial small subunit ribosomal RNA", at positions 355 to 503 of the family's 1533-position model. The record is from RNAcentral.